ACGGCCACACACGUUGAAACACCGGGUCCCGUACGAUCACCGAAGUUAAGCAACGUUGAACUUGGUCAGUGCCUAUAUUCGUGACUGCUUUGGAAUACCAGGUGCUGUAA
This is a non-coding RNA of Acanthosepion pharaonis, 110 nucleotides long. The record is from the annotation of a GenBank genome assembly. NCBI's taxonomy places the organism in Eukaryota, Metazoa, Mollusca, Cephalopoda, Sepiida, Sepiidae.